RNAcentral lists this ribosomal RNA (356 nucleotides) under Yersinia pestis. Its description in RNAcentral is "partial 23S ribosomal RNA". It matches the Rfam family "Bacterial large subunit ribosomal RNA", at positions 1 to 384 of the family's 2925-position model. The record is from RNAcentral. Lineage: Bacteria; Pseudomonadati; Pseudomonadota; Gammaproteobacteria; Enterobacterales; Yersiniaceae.
GGGUUGUGAGGUUAAGCGACUAAGCGUACACGGUGGAUGCCUAGGCAGUCAGAGGCGAUGAAGGGCGUGCUAAUCUGCGAAAAGCGUCGGUAAGCUGAUAUGAAGCGUUAUAACCGACGAUACCCGAAUGGGGAAACCCAGUGCAAUACGUUGCACUAUCGUUAGAUGAAUACAUAGUCUAACGAGGCGAACCGGGGGAACUGAAACAUCUAAGUACCCCGAGGAAAAGAAAUCAACCGAGAUUCCCCCAGUAGCGGCGAGCGAACGGGGAGGAGCCCAGAGUCUGAAUCAGUUUGUGUGUUAGUGGAAGCGUCUGGAAAGUCGCACGGUACAGGGUGAUAGUCCCGUACACCAAA